RNAcentral lists this unclassified non-coding RNA (305 nucleotides) under plant metagenome. RNAcentral's name for it is "partial contains 5.8S ribosomal RNA, internal transcribed spacer 2, and large subunit ribosomal RNA". The stretch from base 1 to 105 matches the Rfam family "5.8S ribosomal RNA", at positions 50 to 154 of the family's 154-position model. The record is from RNAcentral.
GAAAUGCGAUAAGUAAUGUGAAUUGCAGAAUUCAGUGAAUCAUCGAAUCUUUGAACGCACAUUGCGCCCGCCAGUACUCUGGCGGGCAUGCCUGUUCGAGCGUCAUUUCAACCAUCAAGCCCCCGGCUUGUGUUGGGGACCUGCGGCUGCCCGCAGGCCCUGAAAAACAGUGGCGGGCUCGCUGUCACACCGAGCGUAGUAGCAUACAUUCUCGCUCAGGGCGUGCUGCGGGUUCCGGCCGUUAAACGACCUUCAUAACCCAAGGUUGACCUCGGAUCAGGUAGGAAUACCCGCUGAACUUAAGC